GUCUACGGCCAUACCUCGUUGAAAGCACCAGUUCUCGUCCGAUCACUGAAGUUAAGCAACGUCGGGCUCGGUUAGUACUUGGAUGGGUGACCGCCUGGGAACACCGAGUGUUGUAGACG
Molecule: ribosomal RNA, 119 nt
Filed under: Lottia gigantea (owl limpet)
Lineage: Eukaryota; Metazoa; Mollusca; Gastropoda; Lottiidae
Source: RNAcentral